GCAGGUUUUACCUUCCAACACCUGUGUUUUUUUAGACUGAAGGAACAUGUCAACGUAGCACUCAAUGCCUCAUGGCACAGAACUGCUUUCUUACCUUAAAAAAAAACGUCUCAGUGGAGCUUUCAGAGGCUUUUGGAACCACACAAACCAUCAGAAUUUCAAUGUGAUGUUUGAAGUGAAGCCAGCACACCUUACACUACCCUUCAAGAUGGAUUUUGCUACCUGCCGAGUGCGUACGGAAUGACAGACCGCUGACUCUGUACCACAAGGUGCUGCUGGUACUUUGUCGGACCCCCAGAGUGGGUCUAGCAGGGCCCUGUGGCUCAUUAUUUAUCCACUGAGCUCCAGUCUUUUGCUGAUUGGGGUCCUUAGGGAGCCAUUACAGCAGACGAUCUGUCCCAACCAGCCACCGGAUUCAUCCAUCAUGCAAAACUGGAGCACUGGCAGGCUGUGCGCACCCUCGGAAUUACACAAGCUUCAGUCUGGAUUCAACCCUUAAAAAAUCUGAGAUGACCAAACACCUGAGAAGUGCUGAUGCCAACCCCUCAGAGGACCUCAGAUGAUGCUAACCCUGAAACAACACAUAGAACUACCAAAUUUUGCAUUAAGUUUGAUUGCAACAUAUAAUCAUUGCUGUUAAUAGUGUUCAUCGUCUGUUUGAUUACGUCAUUAACUGAUUUUUACCGUACAUUUUUGCCAUAUGUACAUCAACUUGACAUAGUUGAUUCUAAUAGUUGAUUUAGGAUAAACAGACCAAUUCAAAAAUCAUUUACUUUUUUGUAUAAUGAAAUAUUUAGUGAAAUAUUGUUGUUCAUUAUUUUGUUUUUGAGAGUAAGUUUAAAGUUAUAGAAUUAUUUUGUUACAGCAGAAAUUUAUACUCAAUUUAUUGGUGUCACCCU
Long non-coding RNA from Onychostoma macrolepis, 899 nucleotides. RefSeq lists it as uncharacterized. The record is from RefSeq and is a predicted model, not a curated record. Lineage: Eukaryota; Metazoa; Chordata; Actinopteri; Cypriniformes; Cyprinidae. The transcript is spliced from 3 exons.